Molecule: unclassified non-coding RNA, 88 nt
Organism: Cricetulus griseus (Chinese hamster)
Lineage: Eukaryota; Metazoa; Chordata; Mammalia; Rodentia; Cricetidae
Gene: 7SK
Rfam family: 7SK RNA
About the family: 7SK was discovered as an abundant small nuclear RNA in the mid-70s but a possible function has only recently been suggested. Two independent studies have found that 7SK RNA binds the CDK9/cyclin T complex (known as elongation factor P-TEFb).
Source: Ensembl
UGUGAGGGUGAUAAGACUGUGACAUCUGUCACCUCAUUGUCAGGGUUGAUUUGGCUAGACGGGUGUCUCCUAACUCUAACCACACCAC